Molecule: non-coding RNA, 32 nt
Filed under: Homo sapiens (human)
Lineage: Eukaryota; Metazoa; Chordata; Mammalia; Primates; Hominidae
Source: RNAcentral
UGAGAAGAACCUCCUUCCUCAUUAGGUGGAAC